Molecule: ribosomal RNA, 622 nt
Filed under: uncultured bacterium
Lineage: Bacteria
Description: bacterial SSU rRNA
Rfam family: Bacterial small subunit ribosomal RNA
Source: RNAcentral
UAGAGUUUGAUCCUGGCUCAGAGCGAACGCUGGCGGCAGGCUUAACACAUGCAAGUCGAACGGGCGUAGCAAUACGUCAGUGGCAGACGGGUGAGUAACACGUGGGAACGUACCUUUUGGUUCGGAACAACUGAGGGAAACUUCAGCUAAUACCGGAUAAGCCCUAACGGGGAAAGAUUUAUCGCCGAAAGAUCGGCCCGCGUCUGAUUAGCUAGUUGGUGGGGUAAUGGCCCACCAAGGCGACGAUCAGUAGCUGGUCUGAGAGGAUGAUCAGCCACAUUGGGACUGAGACACGGCCCAAACUCCUACGGGAGGCAGCAGUGGGGAAUAUUGGACAAUGGGGGCAACCCUGAUCCAGCCAUGCCGCGUGAGUGAUGAAGGCCCUAGGGUUGUAAAGCUCUUUUGUGCGGGAAGAUAAUGACGGUACCGCAAGAAUAAGCCCCGGCUAACUUCGUGCCAGCAGCCGCGGUAAUACGAAGGGGGCUAGCGUUGCUCGGAAUCACUGGGCGUAAAGGGUGCGUAGGCGGGUCUUUAAGUCAGGGGUGAAAUCCUGGAGCUCAACUCCAGAACUGCCUUUGAUACUGAAGAUCUUGAGUAUGGGAGAGGUGAGUGGAACUGCGAG